AGUGAACGCUGGCGGUAGGCCUAACACAUGCAAGUCGAACGGCAGCACAGUAAGAGCUUGCUCUUACGGGUGGCGAGUGGCGGACGGGUGAGGAAUACAUCGGAAUCUACUUUUUCGUGGGGGAUAACGUAGGGAAACUUACGCUAAUACCGCAUACGACCUACGGGUGAAAGCAGGGGAUCUUCGGACCUUGCGCGAUUGAAUGAGCCGAUGUCGGAUUAGCUAGUUGGCGGGGUAAAGGCCCACCAAGGCGACGAUCCGUAGCUGGUCUGAGAGGAUGAUCAGCCACACUGGAACUGAGACACGGUCCAGACUCCUACGGGAGGCAGCAGUGGGGAAUAUUGGACAAUGGGCGCAAGCCUGAUCCAGCCAUACCGCGUGGGUGAAGAAGGCCUUCGGGUUGUAAAGCCCUUUUGGUUGGAAAGAAAAGCAGCAGGUUAAUACCCCGCUGUCCUGACGGUACCCAAAGAAUAAGCACCGGCUAACUUCGUG
This 492-nucleotide ribosomal RNA is filed under the name uncultured bacterium. Its description in RNAcentral is "partial 16S ribosomal RNA". It matches the Rfam family "Bacterial small subunit ribosomal RNA", at positions 29 to 507 of the family's 1533-position model. The record is from RNAcentral.